Pangasianodon hypophthalmus (striped catfish) is the source of this 860-nucleotide non-coding RNA. The record is from the annotation of a RefSeq genome assembly. Lineage: Eukaryota; Metazoa; Chordata; Actinopteri; Siluriformes; Pangasiidae.
GAUCAUUUACAGUACUAAAUCUAAAUUAAUUGUUCUGUCUUUAAUUAAUACAAAGCUAGUUAAGAACUAAAAAACAUUUCCAUUGUGAUUAUUAAAAGCUGUAGAAGACAGAAACCAGCAGGCUGUUUUGAAUGGACCAGCAUAACAAUAUGCAAAUGCAUAUGCAAACCUUCCCCACUUACAGCUACAUAUAGAGAAAUAUCAGCCUCGGUCACUGUGGGCUCUGGAGAAUUUAGCACUGCUUUUAGUUAAACGAUGUUCCUUCCAUUUUUGCUGCUGCUGGCAGCUUCAUCCUAUGUGGAACGUGCAGUAGAACUCACUCAGGUCACCUCAGUGAUGUUAAAGCCAGGAGACUCUUUAACCCUCAGCUGUAAAGUAUCCGGCUACUCUGUAACUGAUAACAGCUACGCCACAGCUUGGAUUCGACAACCUGCAGGGAAAACUCUGGAGUGGAUAAACCACAUUUGGGGUGGUGGAAGUAUUUAUAAUAAAGAGUCUCUAAAAAGCAAGUUCAGUAUUUCUAAAGACGGCUCCAGCAGCACGGUGACUCUGAGAGGACAGAAUCUGCAGACAGAAGACACAGCUGUGUAUUACUGCGCCUGUAUACACACACUGAUGCUUCUACUUAGCUGUCAAUACAAAAACACAUGCAUGCUGUAGUCACAAACUGACCUCAUAGUUUCAUCACCAGUGUAUUAGAACUAAGGAAACAUUGAGACUAAUACUGAACUCUGUGACUUUCCUCUACAUUUAAAAUCUGUUUAUGUGGAAUGUCUACAAUACAAGUCUUGUGUAAGUUGUUAAUUAACACAUUCUGUCUAAUCAGAUUCGAGAAUUCAACAGUACUGUGGUGUAAGUGU